Molecule: transfer RNA, 92 nt
Filed under: Candidatus Nitrosocosmicus franklandianus
Lineage: Archaea; Thermoproteati; Nitrososphaerota; Nitrososphaeria; Nitrososphaerales; Nitrososphaeraceae
Description: Candidatus Nitrosocosmicus franklandus tRNA-Lys
Rfam family: tRNA
About the family: Transfer RNA (tRNA) molecules are approximately 80 nucleotides in length.
Source: RNAcentral
GGGUUCGUAGCUCAGCCAGGUAGAGCGUCUGGCUCUUAACCAGAUCAAAAGAGGUUAAAAUGUCGUGGGUCCGAAUCCCACCGAACCCGCUA